RNAcentral lists this unclassified non-coding RNA (152 nucleotides) under Mus musculus (house mouse). Its description in RNAcentral is "partial chaperonin 10 antisense RNA". Lineage: Eukaryota; Metazoa; Chordata; Mammalia; Rodentia; Muridae. The record is from RNAcentral.
ACAGUACAGUGAAACUAAAGGUCAGAGACAAUGGCUGUCAGUUUAGGCAUCAUCCGUUUAUUAUAAAAGGGAGGCAUGGGAAUUAUUCACAUGAUGAAGUGGUUCAGGCAUCAGUGACACCAUUUCAACAGUGAUUUCAGUCGACAUACUUU